UGAAGAUCCUCAGCCUGUGGAUGAAAGGGGUCAAGGUUGCUUUCCUCAGUAGCUGGAGUGGCAGUUAAUUCACCAAAGAUGAUUCACAACCCAUGACAGCUGUAAAGGCAAGAAGCAUGCCUGCAUGAAGCCUCUGCACAGAGCUAAGGAAGCACAACAGCACUACAGCAUCGUUGUUCUUUUCAGUGAUGCCCCCUCAGCAGCAGUCCUGAGAAAGGUGUCCCUGCUGGCAGCAUCAGUCUUUGUUCUCACUGUCAGCCUCACUUCUGCAGUUUUAUUCUGCUUUGUCUUCAUGCCAGACUGGAAGACUCAGCUGAAGCAAGCCGUGAAUCUAGGGAGUAUCCAAGGAUUACAUCAACCAGUAAUUUGGGAAGUGUUGCUCUGCAUUCAUUUCAGUGCCAUGAGUCUGAUAGGUUUGCUUUCCAAUGUGUAUGUAUGUGAUCCAUUGGGUUCAUAAAAAGUCUAAUUAAUUGUACUUUAAAAAGAGGAGCUAGACACGCUGUUACACAUCUGUUACAGGCUGGCAAAAAUAAAAAUCUGGCCCUAGCAUCCA
RNAcentral lists this long non-coding RNA (553 nucleotides) under Anser brachyrhynchus (Pink-footed goose). RNAcentral describes it as "lncRNA (ENSABRG00000022579.1)". Lineage: Eukaryota; Metazoa; Chordata; Aves; Anseriformes; Anatidae. The record is from RNAcentral.